GCCAGGCAUGGUGGCUCAUGCCUGUAAUCCCAGCAUUUUGGGAGGCUGAGGCGGGUGGAUCACCUGAGGUCAGGAGUUUGAGACUAGCCUGACCAACAUGGAGAAAUCCUGUCUCUA
Molecule: unclassified non-coding RNA, 117 nt
Organism: Callithrix jacchus (white-tufted-ear marmoset)
Lineage: Eukaryota; Metazoa; Chordata; Mammalia; Primates; Cebidae
Rfam family: Metazoan signal recognition particle RNA
About the family: The signal recognition particle (SRP) is a universally conserved ribonucleoprotein. It is involved in the co-translational targeting of proteins to membranes.
Source: Ensembl